Molecule: ribosomal RNA, 999 nt
Filed under: human gut metagenome
Description: bacterial LSU rRNA
Rfam family: Bacterial large subunit ribosomal RNA
Source: RNAcentral
GUAAACGGCGGCCGUAACUAUAACGGUCCUAAGGUAGCGAAAUUCCUUGUCGGGUAAGUUCCGACCCGCACGAAAGGCGUAAUGAUUUGAGCGCUGUCUCGACAAUGCACCCGGUGAAAUUGAAGUACCAGUGAAGAUGCUGGUUACCUGCGCCAGGACGGAAAGACCCCAUGGAGCUUUACUCCAGCUUGAUACUGGGAUUCGGUACUGCAUGUACAGGAUAGGUGGGAGGCUUUGAAUCAUGGACGCCAGUCUGUGAGGAGCCGCUGUUGGGAUACCACCCUUGCGGUAUUGGAUUUCUAACCUGCAGCCAUGACCUGGCUGGGGGACAAUGUCAGGCGGGGAGUUUGACUGGGGCGGUCGCCUCCGAAAGGGUAUCGGAGGCGCUCAAAGGUUCCCUCAGAAUGGUUGGAAACCAUUCGAAGAGUGCAAAGGCAGAAGGGAGCUUGACUGCGACACCGACGGGUGGAGCAGGUACGAAAGUAGGACUUAGUGAUCCGGUGGUAUGAAAGUGGGAUUGCCAUCGCUCAACGGAUAAAAGCUACCCUGGGGAUAACAGGCUUAUCACUCCCAAGAGUUCACAUCGACGGAGUGGUUUGGCACCUCGAUGUCGGCUCAUCGCAUCCUGGGGCUGAAGUAGGUCCCAAGGGUUGGGCUGUUCGCCCAUUAAAGCGGUACGCGAGCUGGGUUCAGAACGUCGUGAGACAGUUCGGUCCCUAUCCGGCGUGGGCGUAGGAUAUUUGAGAGGAGCUGUCCUUAGUACGAGAGGACCGGGAUGGACUGACCUCUGGUGUACCGGUUGGGUAUCAAACCCAUGGCCGGGUAGCCAAGUCGGGAAGGGAUAAACGCUGAAGGCAUCUAAGCGUGAAGCCCCCCUCAAGAUGAGAUAUCCCAUCGCAAGAGUAAGACCCCUUGAAGACGACGAGGUAGAUAGGGCAGAGGUGGAAGCAUGGCAACAUGUGUAGCUGACUGUCACUAAUAGGUCGAGGGCUUAACCAA